This 522-nucleotide ribosomal RNA is filed under the name Pseudomonas cedrina. Its description in RNAcentral is "bacterial SSU rRNA". It matches the Rfam family "Bacterial small subunit ribosomal RNA", at positions 8 to 526 of the family's 1533-position model. The record is from RNAcentral. Lineage: Bacteria; Pseudomonadati; Pseudomonadota; Gammaproteobacteria; Pseudomonadales; Pseudomonadaceae.
AGAGUUUGAUCCUGGCUCAGAUUGAACGCUGGCGGCAGGCCUAACACAUGCAAGUCGAGCGGUAGAGAGAAGCUUGCUUCUCUUGAGAGCGGCGGACGGGUGAGUAAUGCCUAGGAAUCUGCCUGGUAGUGGGGGAUAACGUUCGGAAACGGACGCUAAUACCGCAUACGUCCUACGGGAGAAAGCAGGGGACCUUCGGGCCUUGCGCUAUCAGAUGAGCCUAGGUCGGAUUAGCUAGUUGGUGAGGUAAUGGCUCACCAAGGCGACGAUCCGUAACUGGUCUGAGAGGAUGAUCAGUCACACUGGAACUGAGACACGGUCCAGACUCCUACGGGAGGCAGCAGUGGGGAAUAUUGGACAAUGGGCGAAAGCCUGAUCCAGCCAUGCCGCGUGUGUGAAGAAGGUCUUCGGAUUGUAAAGCACUUUAAGUUGGGAGGAAGGGUUGUAGAUUAAUACUCUGCAAUUUUGACGUUACCGACAGAAUAAGCACCGGCUAACUCUGUGCCAGCAGCCCGGUAAUAC